Molecule: ribosomal RNA, 253 nt
Filed under: uncultured bacterium
Lineage: Bacteria
Description: partial 16S ribosomal RNA
Rfam family: Bacterial small subunit ribosomal RNA
Source: RNAcentral
UACGUAGGGGGCUAGCGUUGUCCGGAUUUAUUGGGCGUAAAGAGCGUGUAGGCGGCCAGGUAGGUCUGGUGUGAAAACUCGAGGCUUAACCUCGAGAUGUCAUCGGAAACCAUUUGGCUAGAGUCCGGAAGAGGAGAGUGGAAUUCCUGGUGUAGCGGUGAAAUGCGCAGAUAUCAGGAGGAACACCGGUGGCGAAGGCGGCUCUCUGGACCACAACUGACGCUGAGGCGCGAAAGCUAGGGGAGCAAACAGG